AGAUUAAGUUAUUAAGGGCGCACGGUGGAUGCCUUGGCACUAGAAGCCGAUGAAGGACGUUACUAACGACGAUAUGCUUUGGGGAGCUGUAAGUAAGCUUUGAUCCAGAGAUUUCCGAAUGGGGAAACCCAGCAUGAGUUAUGUCAUGUUAUCGAUAUGUGAAUACAUAGCAUAUCAGAAGGCACACCCGGAGAACUGAAACAUCUUAGUACCCGGAGGAAGAGAAAGAAAAUUCGAUUCCCUUAGUAGCGGCGAGCGAAACGGGAAGAGCCCAAACCAACAAGCUUGCUUGUUGGGGUUGUAGGACACUCUAUACGGAGUUACAAAGGACGACAUUAGACGAAUCAUCUGGAAAGAUGAAUCAAAGAAGGUAAUAAUCCUGUAGUCGAAAAUGUUGUCUCUCUUGAGUGGAUCCUGAGUACGACGGAGCACGUGAAAUUCCGUCGGAAUCUGGGAGGACCAUCUCCUAAGGCUAAAUACUCUCUAGUGACCGAUAGUGAACCAGUACCGUGAGGGAAAGGUGAAAAGCACCCCGGAAGGGGAGUGAAAUAGAACCUGAAACCGUGUGCUUACAAGUAGUCAGAGCCCGUUAAUGGGUGAUGGCGUGCCUUUUGUAGAAUGAACCGGCGAGUUACGAUUUGAUGCAAGGUUAAGCAGUAAAUGUGGAGCCGUAGCGAAAGCGAGUCUGAAUAGGGCGUUUAGUAUUUGGUCGUAGACCCGAAACCAGGUGAUCUACCCUUGGUCAGGUUGAAGUUCAGGUAACACUGAAUGGAGGACCGAACCGACUUACGUUGAAAAGUGAGCGGAUGAACUGAGGGUAGCGGAGAAAUUCCAAUCGAACCUGGAGAUAGCUGGUUCUCUCCGAAAUAGCUUUAGGGCUAGCCUCAAGUGAUGAUUAUUGGAGGUAGAGCACUGUUUGGACGAGGGGCCCCUCUCGGGUUACCGAAUUCAGACAAACUCCGAAUGCCAAUUAAUUUAACUUGGGAGUCAGAACAUGGGUGAUAAGGUCCGUGUUCGAAAGGGAAACAGCCCAGACCACCAGCUAAGGUCCCAAAAUAUAUGUUAAGUGGAAAAGGAUGUGGCGUUGCCCAGACAACUAGGAUGUUGGCUUAGAAGCAGCCAUCAUUUAAAGAGUGCGUAAUAGCUCACUAGUCGAGUGACACUGCGCCGAAAAUGUACCGGGGCUAAACAUAUUACCGAAGCUGUGGAUUGUCCUUUGGACAAUGGUAGGAGAGCGUUCUAAGGGCGUUGAAGCAUGAUCGUAAGGACAUGUGGAGCGCUUAGAAGUGAGAAUGCCGGUGUGAGUAGCGAAAGACGGGUGAGAAUCCCGUCCACCGAUUGACUAAGGUUUCCAGAGGAAGGCUCGUCCGCUCUGGGUUAGUCGGGUCCUAAGCUGAGGCCGACAGGCGUAGGCGAUGGAUAACAGGUUGAUAUUCCUGUACCACCUAUAAUCGUUUUAAUCGAUGGGGGGACGCAGUAGGAUAGGCGAAGCGUGCGAUUGGAUUGCACGUCUAAGCAGUAAGGCUGAGUAUUAGGCAAAUCCGGUACUCGUUAAGGCUGAGCUGUGAUGGGGAGAAGACAUUGUGUCUUCGAGUCGUUGAUUUCACACUGCCGAGAAAAGCCUCUAGAUAGAAAAUAGGUGCCCGUACCGCAAACCGACACAGGUAGUCAAGAUGAGAAUUCUAAGGUGAGCGAGCGAACUCUCGUUAAGGAACUCGGCAAAAUGACCCCGUAACUUCGGGAGAAGGGGUGCUCUUUAGGGUUAACGCCCAGAAGAGCCGCAGUGAAUAGGCCCAAGCGACUGUUUAUCAAAAACACAGGUCUCUGCUAAACCGUAAGGUGAUGUAUAGGGGCUGACGCCUGCCCGGUGCUGGAAGGUUAAGAGGAGUGGUUAGCUUCUGCGAAGCUACGAAUCGAAGCCCCAGUAAACGGCGGCCGUAACUAUAACGGUCCUAAGGUAGCGAAAUUCCUUGUCGGGUAAGUUCCGACCCGCACGAAAGGCGUAACGAUUUGGGCACUGUCUCAACGAGAGACUCGGUGAAAUCAUAGUACCUGUGAAGAUGCAGGUUACCCGCGACAGGACGGAAAGACCCCGUGGAGCUUUACUGUAGCCUGAUAUUGAAAUUCGGCACAGCUUGUACAGGAUAGGUAGGAGCCUUUGAAACGUGAGCGCUAGCUUACGUGGAGGCGCUGGUGGGAUACUACCCUAGCUGUGUUGGCUUUCUAACCCGCACCACUUAUCGUGGUGGGAGACAGUGUCAGGCGGGCAGUUUGACUGGGGCGGUCGCCUCCUAAAAGGUAACGGAGGCGCUCAAAGGUUCCCUCAGAAUGGUUGGAAAUCAUUCAUAGAGUGUAAAGGCAUAAGGGAGCUUGACUGCGAGACCUACAAGUCGAGCAGGGUCGAAAGACGGACUUAGUGAUCCGGUGGUUCCGCAUGGAAGGGCCAUCGCUCAACGGAUAAAAGCUACCCCGGGGAUAACAGGCUUAUCUCCCCCAAGAGUUCACAUCGACGGGGAGGUUUGGCACCUCGAUGUCGGCUCAUCGCAUCCUGGGGCUGUAGUCGGUCCCAAGGGUUGGGCUGUUCGCCCAUUAAAGCGGUACGCGAGCUGGGUUCAGAACGUCGUGAGACAGUUCGGUCCCUAUCCGUCGUGGGCGUAGGAAAUUUGAGAGGAGCUGUCCUUAGUACGAGAGGACCGGGAUGGACAUACCUCUGGUGUACCAGUUGUCGUGCCAACGGCAUAGCUGGGUAGCUAUGUGUGGACGGGAUAAGUGCUGAAAGCAUCUAAGCAUGAAGCCCCCCUCAAGAUGAGAUUUCCCAACUUCGGUUAUAAGAUCCCUCAAAGAUGAUGAGGUUAAUAGGUUCGAGGUGGAAGCAUGGUGACAUGUGGAGCUGACGAAUACUAAUCGAUUGAAGACUUAAUCAAAA
RNAcentral lists this ribosomal RNA (2926 nucleotides) under Staphylococcus aureus. Its description in RNAcentral is "bacterial LSU rRNA". It matches the Rfam family "Bacterial large subunit ribosomal RNA". Lineage: Bacteria; Bacillati; Bacillota; Bacilli; Caryophanales; Staphylococcaceae. The record is from RNAcentral.